Long non-coding RNA from Tripterygium wilfordii, 517 nucleotides. RefSeq lists it as uncharacterized. The record is from RefSeq and is a predicted model, not a curated record. NCBI's taxonomy places the organism in Eukaryota, Viridiplantae, Streptophyta, Magnoliopsida, Celastrales, Celastraceae. The transcript has 2 exons.
AUACGAGAGGAGAGAAAAGAGAAGAGUAGCCUAAAAUGGCGUAUGAGUAUUUAUAGAGUAUCGACUUUGACGAAUCGUGCUUUACAAGGCAAAUUCAGGGUGGUUGAAUUGGGAAACACAACAAUUUAAAAUUAAACAGCGGCAACGGUGAAACUUUGCAGCAAAAGCGCGUGAAGACACCUCUUAUUGACGUGGCCACGUUCAGGGAUGGUCCCACGUGGCAAGUGCUGGUCGUUUUCCCUAACGAGCGAGCGGGGGUAGUUGCGUCCCUACAUAUAACUAGUAACCACAAAUGCAGUGAUGUGGCAGUUGAUGGAGCCAACUGUAGGGUCUCCUCCGUCGUUGCCUGAUUAGAACAAAUUAUGGGUCCGGGUCCGUGUCCGCGUGGUAGCGAAUGGACCCCGGUGAUAACAUUCUCGUUCAUUUUUAUUUUUUUUAUUUUGUUUUGGGAACAUCACGUUUCUACAUCAUUUCAUGAGGUGGUGUUUCAAAAUCAAUAAAAUAGUUUAUAUAUAUA